RNAcentral lists this ribosomal RNA (585 nucleotides) under uncultured bacterium. Its description in RNAcentral is "partial 16S ribosomal RNA". It matches the Rfam family "Bacterial small subunit ribosomal RNA", at positions 355 to 1375 of the family's 1533-position model. The record is from RNAcentral.
UGGGGAAUUUUGGACAAUGGGCGAAAGCCUGAUCCAGCAAUGCCGCGUGUGUGAAGAAGGCCUUCGGGUUGUAAAGCACUUUUGUCCGGAAAGAAAUCCUUGGCUCUAAUACAGUCGGGGGAUGACGGUACCGGAAGAAUAAGCACCGGCUAACUACGUGCCAGCAGCCGCGGUAAUACGUAGGGUGCAAGCGUUAAUCGGAAUUACUGGGCGUAAAGCGUACGCAGGCGGUUUGCUAAGACCGAUGUGAAAUCCCCGGGCUCAACCUGGGAACUGCAUUGGUGACUGGCAGGCUAGAGUAUGGCAGAGGGGGGUAGAAUUCCACGUGUAGCAGUGAAAUGCGUAGAGAUGUGGAGGAAUACCGAUGGCGAAGGCAGCCCCCUGGGCCAAUACUGACGCUCAUGCACGAAAGCGUGGGGAGCAAACAGGAUUAGAUACCCUGGUAGUCCACGCCCUAAACGAUGUCAACUAGUUGUUGGGGAUUCAUUUCCUUAGUAACGUAGCUAACGCGUGAAGUUGACCGCCUGGGGAGUACGGUCGCAAGAUUAAAACUUAAAUGAAUUGACGGGGUCAUAGCUGUUUCCU